Scophthalmus maximus (turbot) is the source of this 900-nucleotide long non-coding RNA. RefSeq lists it as uncharacterized. Lineage: Eukaryota; Metazoa; Chordata; Actinopteri; Pleuronectiformes; Scophthalmidae. The record is from RefSeq and is a predicted model, not a curated record. The transcript is spliced from 5 exons.
CGCGGCGGGUUCAUCACCGGCGGUCGACUGCGAUUCACGGAGACACAACGAUCAGUGGUCAUCGCAAAUCACAGCGGCUUGUCCCUCCGCGGGCGCCGUAGAGGAGCGGCAGAACAGCGACACCUGCUGGCGGAAAUUUAAUCUCUUGAAGCAGUCUCUGAGUUGCCCAACGACCCGUCAGCAGAACCAUGUUGCUGCCGUGAAGAUCGAACCUGCGUCUCUUCUCUGUGGCGGUUCGUCCCCCGGCUGGAGCGAGUCCCACGGCGGCAGACCAGCGGUCGGCUGUGGGGUUCAAACGUCCGGUCAGGAACGUCGAUCAUGUGACAGAUCAUUUCUGACGACUGACUGAGCAAACGUCAUCUGCUGAUGAAGACGGUCAAGAGCUCCAGGACAUGUCGCUGUGGGCGCAGCCCGGCAGCGAGGAGAGCCCGAGGCCCGGCUGGCGGCUGGAGAAGGCGGGCGGAGGCUGGAUGAGGGGCGGGGUGUGGCCGAAGGCGCUGAGGCCGCGCUGCUGGGACAGGAGCUGCUGGUGUCCGUACGAGCUGCCGGCGGCCGAGCUGGUGCGCGAGUUGUUGAUGUAGGCCACCAGCGAGUUGGGCGACGUGCGGAUCAUCGUCUGCAGGUCGAUGGAGGCGUCGGACAGCGGCGAGAUGGACAGAGCUCGUUUCCUGCUGAGCCGCGGCGUCAGUCUGGGGCUGGAGAACCGGGACACUGCGGAGACACAGGCGAGUCACACACGGUGGAACCACCACUGGACCUGGUCACUGUCAGUUCCUGUCCUACAACUGUAUGAAAUAUAUAUAUAUAUAUAUAUAUAUACUGGAUAUUAAACUGACAUCCUGAGAUUGACAUUUAUGAGGAAAAACUUGGAUAUUUCCUGAGAUUAAAGUAGUAAAUUAA